Long non-coding RNA from Ictalurus punctatus (channel catfish), 1814 nucleotides. The record is from Ensembl. Lineage: Eukaryota; Metazoa; Chordata; Actinopteri; Siluriformes; Ictaluridae.
CGAGAAACGAGGAAAAAGUCUUAUCAGUGCAGUCAUGCUGAAGCGAAUUAAAUCCUCCAGAUUUUCCUGUUUGCGUACUUUUCCAACACUUUUUUUGUUUCCUUAUGUUAAACACACACCCGAACUAUUAUAUUUCUCUGACUACACCUAUUAUCUUUUUAAAUCAUCGCUUCCUAAUAGCUUUUACUGUAAGGGGGAAAUCCGAAGGUCUUAAACUUGUGUUGCAUAAAAGUACAGGAUUGACGCCUUUGGUACUAAACUUAUACUUACAGAGCGACUUACAUUUAAUCUCAUUUAUACAAGUGGAGGGUUAGGGGCCUUGCUCACGGGCCCAACAAUGGCAGCUUGGCAGUGCUGUGAUUUAAACUCAUGACCUUCCAAUCAGUAUUCCAACACCUUAACCACUGACACACCCCUGCCCAGAAAAAGUUUAAAGCAACUUGAACUAACGUGCCCGUACAUUCACAGGCAGAGAACCGAAUCCGUACGAAGUCCCUACGAUCACAAUAUCGGAUAGCAUCGUCGCGUGCAAGUUCUGGGCGAGUCGAGACACAGCUUGUUUAUGGGCACGGUUCUUUUGGUAGAACACGUAGAACACGUAGAACAGGUGUGUUACUGUGAGAUUUACAGAAACACCUUGGCCUUAAGUCAACAUAGGACACAUCUGAUCCCGAUCUAGUCCGACUGCUGGUCACGUCUAUUAGAACCAGUUUUAAAGAAGAGCCUAGACAAGAGGCCACGUUUACAGUUAAAUGCUACGUUCAAGAAAGAAAAAGAAAGAAAGAAAGAAAGGGGAAAAGGGUCACGGGGGAACCUGGAGUCUAUCCCAGGGAGUAUCGGGGCACAAGGCGGGGUACACCCUGGACAGUCACAUACACAUUCAUACACUACGGACACUUUAGACACGCCAAUCAGCCUACCAUGCAUGUCUUUGGACUGGGGGAGGAAACCGGAGUACCCGGAGGAAACCCCCGCAGCACAGGGAGAACAUGCAAACUCCACACACACACACAGGAUCACGGUGGGAAUCGAACCCCCGACCCUGGAGGUGUGAGGCGAACGUGCCAACCACUAACCCACCGUGCUCCCUUUUAUUUAUCAUUUUAGGCACAAAAAAAUAAAAAAUAAUAAUUAAUAGGAAAAAAAAACUAAUGAAUCGGAAAUAUAAAAAUAAUAAAAGGGUUCUCAGGACACGUCAUGGUUUCCUCAUGAACCAAAUGUAAUAUAUAAUGUGUCAGUCUUUAAUAAAUAAAAAAUGGUUAGCCUUGAGAAGUGACUGAUUAAUGAUAGAAGAGGAAAUAAAGAGUUUGCUGUUAUAGGAAUAUAAUCCACUUCCAGGUGGUAAUGGCAACUCUGGGUUAUCCCCACGGAUUAGUUUCCUAAAACCGCACCCCCCAGUUGUGUUGGAUUCCUUUCUCAUUUCAUGCCGUAUAAUUGCAUUAAUAUUCAUUCAUCUACAGUCUGUCAUAUGUGGUCACGUCAAAUGACUAGAUUAAGUGCGAUAAUUGCUCAUUCUACCUUCCUGUAAAAUGAACAGUCGUGCUUAUGCAACUUUUGAUUCGUCAUUCAAGCUAGACGACUACAUCAUUAAAAGUCAUUUAAUUAAUAAUCGAGUUGUCCAGCAUUCCAGUUUGGAGUCUAAGUCUUGAGGAAUUCAACAUUCAGAGCAUUACAAUGCCUCCACCAUAUUUGAACUUAAAUUUCUCAUAUAUUCUCAUAAAACUCAUAUAUUCAAAUGUUUUCAUAUUAAUAAUAAGUUACUGUUAUCAUGGGGUUGAGAUGUGCAGGAUUGGGGAUUAGGUUCAUUGCAAAUG